UGCCCAUACAAUGUAUUAACUCAGCUGGAACACAUUUCAGAGCAAAAAUGCUAAAACGUAUGGAAACGAGCCCAACAGGUCUUAUUAGGACUUGCCGAGGGCAACCGGACUAGCUCUGAGUAACGUGAGCCGCAAAAGGGCCCGGCUGUCCGUUCACCCUGACUCCUCUGUACCCAGUCUACUCCACAUCUUAAUUUGCCUGCACAGGUGAACUGAGCAUCAGAAUACAUGGAAAGGGAAAGGGAAAAAUAUUUUAGGAUGUCUCAGGGAAAAUCAGAAGUGAAAAACUUUAUAUUUUCAGACUGCAGAUUUCUUGAGGGUAACAGUAUAUUUGAUUUUAUGUUUUAAUAAUGGAACUUUAAAAAUAGAGAAAAAUUAAAGAAAAAUUUGUUCUGUGAUUAAAUGAUUAAAAAAUAUUUGCUGAACAACUUCUAUAUGGACUUGAUCAAAUACUCUGAUAGG
RNAcentral lists this long non-coding RNA (462 nucleotides) under Bos taurus (domestic cattle). RNAcentral's name for it is "long non-coding RNA NONBTAT006595". The record is from RNAcentral. Lineage: Eukaryota; Metazoa; Chordata; Mammalia; Artiodactyla; Bovidae.